RNAcentral lists this small nuclear RNA (128 nucleotides) under Nelumbo nucifera (sacred lotus). Its description in RNAcentral is "U11 spliceosomal RNA". It matches the Rfam family "U11 spliceosomal RNA". The record is from Rfam by way of RNAcentral. Lineage: Eukaryota; Viridiplantae; Streptophyta; Magnoliopsida; Proteales; Nelumbonaceae.
UAAAAGGGUCGGUUGGCUAAAUAUGCCACUCUCGCCUCCCAAUUGGUGAGUGCUGUAUGGCUAUCAAGACAUAUGGCCGACAUAAUUUGUGAAACCUCAAAGGGUUGGCUCGCUCGGCCGACCCUCCA